GUGGGGAAAAGUUCACUGUAGAUGUCACGAGCAGCGUAUUCGUCACUCGACCAAUCACCUUUGAGAAGGUUUGAGACAAGAACCAAUCGCUGUCCUCACAAGACGUCAUCUGAGCAGAUGAGCGAGAACGGAAUUGUGAACUGACUUGCGAACUAAUUGAAAGUAUAUUUUGAGUCCUACUAACAUUACUACAAU
Molecule: ribozyme, 195 nt
Rfam family: Nuclear RNase P
About the family: Ribonuclease P (RNase P) is a ubiquitous endoribonuclease, found in archaea, bacteria and eukarya as well as chloroplasts and mitochondria. Its best characterised activity is the generation of mature 5'-ends of tRNAs by cleaving the 5'-leader elements of precursor-tRNAs.
Source: Ensembl